RNAcentral lists this non-coding RNA (318 nucleotides) under Vibrio xiamenensis. The record is from RNAcentral. Lineage: Bacteria; Pseudomonadati; Pseudomonadota; Gammaproteobacteria; Vibrionales; Vibrionaceae.
UUUAGGAUGAAGGUUUGAUGGCUCAGGAUGGGCGGUCAAGCAGGAAGCAUUUAACACUGACAGGAUGGCAGUGUUUAGGAAGAAUAAAGGAACAGUGCGCGGAUCGCACAAGGGACACCGCUCAAGGAACAAGUGAUGUCAGCUAACUAGGAACGUUAGCUAUCAGGACGAACAGGACACUGCUAGGACGGCAAGGUUAGGAUAGGGCACAUGGACAUGGCCACUAUUAUGGACGAUGCAUGGAGCAUUAUGAUGUAGCCGGACUGCUGCGAGUAAGACUAUAGCCCUGAUACUCACGUGUCAGGGCUUUUCUUAUUC